RNAcentral lists this ribosomal RNA (427 nucleotides) under uncultured bacterium. RNAcentral's name for it is "partial 16S ribosomal RNA". It matches the Rfam family "Bacterial small subunit ribosomal RNA", at positions 355 to 774 of the family's 1533-position model. The record is from RNAcentral.
UGGGGAAUAUUGGACAAUGGGGGCAACCCUGAUCCAGCCAUGCCGCGUGUGUGAAGAAGGCCUUUUGGUUGUAAAGCACUUUAAGCAGUGAAGAAGACUCCAUGGUUAAUACCCAUGGACGAUGACAUUAGCUGCAGAAUAAGCACCGGCUAACUCUGUGCCAGCAGCCGCGGUAAUACAGAGGGUGCAAGCGUUAAUCGGAAUUACUGGGCGUAAAGCGAGCGUAGGUGGCUUGAUAAGUCAGAUGUGAAAGCCCCGGGCUUAACCUGGGAACGGCAUCUGAUACUGUUAGGCUAGAGUAGGUGAGAGGAAGGUAGAAUUCCAGGUGUAGCGGUGAAAUGCGUAGAGAUCUGGAGGAAUACCGAUGGCGAAGGCAGCCUUCUGGCAUCAUACUGACACUGAUGUUCGAAAGCGUGGGUAGCAAACA